RNAcentral lists this ribosomal RNA (492 nucleotides) under uncultured bacterium. Its description in RNAcentral is "partial 16S ribosomal RNA". It matches the Rfam family "Bacterial small subunit ribosomal RNA", at positions 29 to 506 of the family's 1533-position model. The record is from RNAcentral.
AGUGAACGCUGGCGGUAGGCCUAACACAUGCAAGUCGAACGGCAGCACAGUAAGAGCUUGCUCUUACGGGUGGCGAGUGGCGGACGGGUGAGGAAUACAUCGGAAUCUACUUUUUCGUGGGGGAUAACGUAGGGAAACUUACGCUAAUACCGCAUACGACCUACGGGUGAAAGCAGGGGAUCUUCGGACCUUGCGCGAUUGAAUGAGCCGAUGUCGGAUUAGCUAGUUGGCGGGGUAAAGGCCCACCAAGGCGACGAUCCGUAGCUGGUCUGAGAGGAUGAUCAGCCACACUGGAACUGAGACACGGUCCCGAGUCCUAAGGGAGGGAGCAGAGGGGAAUAUUGGGCAAUAGGGGGAAAGCUGGUCCAAGCAUACCGGGGUGGGUGAGGAGGGCUUCCGGGUGUAAAGGCCUUUUGUUGGGGAAAAAAAGGAGGAGGUUAAAACCCCGCUUGUCUGGACGGAACCAAAAGAAAAAGAACCGCCAAAUUUCUG